This 653-nucleotide ribosomal RNA is filed under the name uncultured beta proteobacterium. RNAcentral's name for it is "bacterial SSU rRNA". It matches the Rfam family "Bacterial small subunit ribosomal RNA", at positions 108 to 757 of the family's 1533-position model. Lineage: Bacteria; Pseudomonadati; Pseudomonadota; Betaproteobacteria. The record is from RNAcentral.
GAGUAAUACAUCGGAACGUGCCCAGUCGUGGGGGAUAACGUAGCGAAAGCUACGCUAAUACCGCAUACGAUCUAUGGAUGAAAGCGGGGGAUCGCAAGACCUCGCGCGAUUGGAGCGGCCGAUGGCAGAUUAGGUAGUUGGUGGGGUAAAGGCCUACCAAGCCGACGAUCUGUAGCUGGUCUGAGAGGACGACCAGCCACACUGGGACUGAGACACGGCCCAGACUCCUACGGGAGGCAGCAGUGGGGAAUUUUGGACAAUGGGCGCAAGCCUGAUCCAGCCAUUCCGCGUGCAGGAUGAAGGCCCUCGGGUUGUAAACUGCUUUUGUACGGAACGAAAAGGCCUAGGCUAAUACCUUGGGCUCAUGACGGUACCGUAAGAAUAAGCACCGGCUAACUACGUGCCAGCAGCCGCGGUAAUACGUAGGGUGCAAGCGUUAAUCGGAAUUACUGGGCGUAAAGCGUGCGCAGGCGGUGAUGUAAGACGGAUGUGAAAUCCCCGGGCUCAACCUGGGAACUGCAUUCGUGACUGCAUCGCUGGAGUGCGGCAGAGGGGGAUGGAAUUCCGCGUGUAGCAGUGAAAUGCGUAGAUAUGCGGAGGAACACCGAUGGCGAAGGCAAUCCCCUGGGCCUGCACUGACGCUCAUGCACGAA